GACGAACGCUGGCGGCGUGGAUUAGGCAUGCAAGUCGAACGGUAUCAUCCUUUCGGGGGUGAGAGAGUGGCGAACUGGUGAGUAACACGUAGGUUAUCUACCCUCAAGACGGGGACAACCCAGGGAAACUUGGGCUAAUACCGGAUGUGAGCAACUUUUAGUUGUUUGAAAGGUGGCGUAAGCUGUCGCUUGGGGAUGAGCCUGCGUCCUAUUAGUUAGUUGGUGAGGUAACGGCUCACCUAGGCAAUGAUAGGUAGGCGGCCUUAACGGGUGGUCGCCCACACUGGGAUUGAGAUACGGCCCAGACUCCUACGGGAGGCAGCAGUCGAGAAUAGUCUACAAUGGUCGGAAGGCUGAUAGUGCGACGCCGCGUGAACGAUGAAUCCCUUCGGGGUGUAAAGUUCUUUUAUAUGUGAGCAGUGCUUCUUAUAUUAACAGUAUGGGGAGAGAGAUAUUAGCAUAUGAAUAAGCAACGGCUAACUCCGUGCCAGCAGCCGCGGUAAACUCGU
RNAcentral lists this ribosomal RNA (509 nucleotides) under uncultured bacterium. Its description in RNAcentral is "bacterial SSU rRNA". It matches the Rfam family "Bacterial small subunit ribosomal RNA", at positions 28 to 528 of the family's 1533-position model. The record is from RNAcentral.